GACGAACCGUCCUAACGUUGUUCGGAAUCACUGGGCUUAAAGGGCGCGUAGGCGGGUCGCCAAGUCUGGGGUGAAAUCUUUCGGCUUAACCGGAAAAUAGCCCUGGAUACUGGCGAUCUCGAGGGUGGUAGGGGCAUGUGGAACUUCCGGUGGAGCGGUGAAAUGCGUUGAUAUCGGAAGGAACGCCGGUGGCGAAAGCGACGUGCUGGACCACUACUGACGCUGAGGCGCGAAAGCCAGGGGAGCAAACGGG
Molecule: ribosomal RNA, 253 nt
Filed under: uncultured bacterium
Lineage: Bacteria
Also listed under: 1 other name
Description: partial 16S ribosomal RNA
Rfam family: Bacterial small subunit ribosomal RNA
Source: RNAcentral